GAUGAACGAGGGGGGAGGGAGGAAUACAUGCAAGUCGAGCGAACAGACGAGGAGCUUGCUCCUCUGACGUUAGCGGCGGACGGGUGAGUAACACGUGGAUAACCUACCUAUAAGACUGGGAUAACUUCGGGAAACCGGAGCUAAUACCGGAUAAUAUAUUGAACCGCAUGGUUCAAUAGUGAAAGACGGUUUUGCUGUCACUUAUAGAUGGAUCCGCGCCGCAUUAGCUAGUUGGUAAGGUAACGGCUUACCAAGGCAACGAUGCGUAGCCGACCUGAGAGGGUGAUCGGCCACACUGGAACUGAGACACGGUCCAGACUCCUACGGGAGGCAGCAGUAGGGAAUCUUCCGCAAUGGGCGAAAGCCUGACGGAGCAACGCCGCGUGAGUGAUGAAGGUCUUCGGAUCGUAAAACUCUGUUAUUAGGGAAGAACAAAUGUGUAAGUAACUAUGCACGUCUUGACGGUACCUAAUCAGAAAGCCACGGCUAACUACGUG
This 497-nucleotide ribosomal RNA is filed under the name uncultured bacterium. RNAcentral describes it as "partial 16S ribosomal RNA". It matches the Rfam family "Bacterial small subunit ribosomal RNA", at positions 28 to 507 of the family's 1533-position model. The record is from RNAcentral.